GCUCCUUCUUUGCCGAUCCGGCUAAGAUCAAGUGUAGUAUCUGUUCUUUUCAGUUUGACCGCUGGAACGUCGACCACGCUGUCGACAACUCUUUUCAAACGUGUUUUUGGAACCUAGCGGGAUGCAGGGUAGAUCGACCGCUGGGCGAUGCCCAUUGUCCGUACCUGGUACUCGCACUGUGUCACCGGUCCUGCACUGCCUCCGGCUGACGCGACUUUUU
RNAcentral lists this small nuclear RNA (220 nucleotides) under Macrophomina phaseolina MS6. RNAcentral describes it as "U2 spliceosomal RNA". It matches the Rfam family "U2 spliceosomal RNA". Rfam says of the family: U2 is a small nuclear RNA (snRNA) component of the spliceosome (involved in pre-mRNA splicing). Complementary binding between U2 snRNA (in an area lying towards the 5' end but 3' to hairpin I) and the branchpoint sequence (BPS) of the intron results the bulging out of an unpaired adenosine, on the BPS, which initiates a nucleophilic attack at the intronic 5' splice site, thus starting the first of two transesterification reactions that mediate splicing. Lineage: Eukaryota; Fungi; Ascomycota; Dothideomycetes; Botryosphaeriales; Botryosphaeriaceae. The record is from Rfam by way of RNAcentral.